Non-coding RNA from Vigna angularis (adzuki bean), 116 nucleotides. Lineage: Eukaryota; Viridiplantae; Streptophyta; Magnoliopsida; Fabales; Fabaceae. The record is from Rfam.
AGCCGUGUGAUGAGUACAUAGCGAAUUAUUCUUUCGCCUUUUACUAAAGAAUACCGUGGGCUCAUCACUAUAUGCGGCAUACGCAACUUUUUGAAAGGGUUUUCUUAUGACACCCU